UACAUGCUCCCUCCGUCCGAAAUUAUUUGUGACACAAAUUGAUAAAGAUGGAUGUAUCUAAAACUGAAAUACGUCUAGAUACAUUCAUUUCUAUGACAAGCAUUUUCGGACGGAGGGAGUAAAAA
Non-coding RNA from Hordeum vulgare subsp. vulgare (domesticated barley), 125 nucleotides. Lineage: Eukaryota; Viridiplantae; Streptophyta; Magnoliopsida; Poales; Poaceae. The record is from Rfam.